GUGUUGUAUGAAAGGAGAGAAGGUUAGCACUCCCCUUGAUAAGGAAUGGAAGAGGUCUUAGUGGUCUUUACAAAAAUAUAUACGGUUAAGGCAUUGCCAUCUACUCUAUGGCAUCUAACCAUGUGUUUGG
Vombatus ursinus (common wombat) is the source of this 130-nucleotide small nuclear RNA. The record is from Ensembl. NCBI's taxonomy places the organism in Eukaryota, Metazoa, Chordata, Mammalia, Diprotodontia, Vombatidae.